Molecule: ribosomal RNA, 530 nt
Filed under: uncultured bacterium
Lineage: Bacteria
Description: bacterial SSU rRNA
Rfam family: Bacterial small subunit ribosomal RNA
Source: RNAcentral
UGGGGAAUAUUGCACAAUGGGCGCAAGCCUGAUGCAGCAACGCCGCGUGCGGGAUGACGGCCUUCGGGUUGUAAACCGCUUUCAGUAGGGACGAAGCGCAAGUGACGGUACCUACAGAAGAAGGACCGGCUAACUACGUGCCAGCAGCCGCGGUGAUACGUAGGGUCCGAGCGUUGUCCGGAAUUAUUGGGCGUAAAGGGCUUGUAGGCGGUUCGUCGCGUCAGGGAGUGAAAACUCGGGGCUUAACCCCGAGCCUGCUUUUGAUACGGGCGAACUAGAGGGAUGCAGGGGAGAACGGAAUUCCUGGUGGAGCGGUGGAAUGCGCAGAUAUCAGGAGGAACACCGGUGGCGAAGGCGGUUCUCUGGGCAUCACCUGACGCUGAGAAGCGAAAGCGUGGGGAGCAAACAGGCUUAGAUACCCUGGUAGUCCACGCCGUAAACGGUGGGCACUAGGUGUGGGGGACAUUCCACGUUCUCCGUGCCGAAGCUAACGCAUUAAGUGCCCCGCCUGGGGAGUACGGCCGCAAGGC